Molecule: long non-coding RNA, 1269 nt
Organism: Papaver somniferum (opium poppy)
Lineage: Eukaryota; Viridiplantae; Streptophyta; Magnoliopsida; Ranunculales; Papaveraceae
Exons: 2
Source: RefSeq, a predicted model, not a curated record
UCUGAGUAGCAAAAAAGAGAAAAAAUCCCUAACUGAUACUGUAGGAAAACCACCAGAAAUUGAUCCCUCUUACUUCUAUCAAAACCUAACUGCUUAUGGAAAUCAACCCAUCCACCCCCUGUUCAAUCCCUUUCAAAAUAAAACCUUAACAACCUUCCUACCAAAUCAAAAUCACCACCUUCUGAAAAAAAAACCUCAAUCCCAUAAACCAGGGCAUUGGAAGAGAGAUGCUAGAGAAAUCAGUAAGUCUGUUCCCCAGAAUUUAGAGGAAGUUCAAGGACAAAUCAACGAGGAACCACAAUCCCUCAGAGAAAGAGAAAGGAGUCAAUUGAAGAGCAGAACCCUAAAAAUUAAAUCUCAGAAGAAAGUGAGUGAAGAGGAGAAAACAAAAUCUUAAGAUGAAGUAAAAGCAAAAGCUAGGCCUGAAACUGCAGAAGCAGAUACAACACAAACUGAAAUUGAGGUAUUAAAUAAAGCUUGGAUGAAUUGAGAAGCCAAAAGGAACAGAGAAGUAGGGACAACAGAAGAGAGACAACAAAGACUCGCGCUAGAAGGCAGUGAAAAAUGUUGUUUGCACCUCAUCCGUAAGUGAAGAAUGUUGUUUGCAAGAUCUAACACUAGACGUGGGCUUGACAUAUUAAAUUUGAAGAAAACACGGGACUAGAAGUGAUAACACCCAAGAUCCAAGACCCAAACCCGUUGCCAUGUCUGGGUCGUCAGAUUUAGCAUAACUGCACAACAUCCAACAACAUAUCUGUUCGACGCAUCAACGUCUGCUGCUUCCGCUGAACACCAUAUCCUCAUAUUUUCUCCCUUUGUAUGAACAGAAGCCAAACACACCUUCACUUCGUUUUCUUCUUCCCUACAAGCUCUGCAAAAACCAUCAGUUCUCUUCCUCCAUCAAUCACUUCCAUUUCCGACCAUAGCCAACCUAUCAGCCGCCCUAUGCAAUCAAUAAUCUCCUAGCCUCUUUCUAUCUACAUCAUAACUUCUACCCCACAAUAGUAACCCUAGAAGCUAGGGUUGAGAAACAUAAGGCUAUGUUUUUUUUACGGCUGUAGAACAUCACAUCAAGGACUUGCUGAGUUGAAAUUGCAGAAUGGGUUUGUAGGGAAAACGCGUUUUGAGUGAGUGGUUGCUUUCUAAUUAUCAAAUUCUAGUGUUUGAGAAGAAAAUGGGGUAUAAAAAGGGUUCUCUGUGAAUUGUGUAAUCAUCUAAGAUUAGCUGGAUCAUCAAGUUUUAAUAUAAUUCAUAUUUUCAUCUUGUUCA